Molecule: ribosomal RNA, 200 nt
Filed under: Serendipita vermifera
Lineage: Eukaryota; Fungi; Basidiomycota; Agaricomycetes; Sebacinales; Serendipitaceae
Description: partial 28S ribosomal RNA
Rfam family: Eukaryotic large subunit ribosomal RNA
Source: RNAcentral
ACCCGCUGAACUUAAGCAUAUCAAUAAGCGGAGGAAAAGAAACUAACAAGGAUUCCCCUAGUAACGGCGAGUGAAGAGGGAAAAGCUCAAAUUUUGAAUCUGGUGUCUUUGACUCCCGAGUUGUAAUCUAGAGAAGUGUUUUCCGUGUCGGACCGUGUACAAGUUCCCUGGAACGGGGCGUCAUAGAGGGUGAGAAUCCN